UAUUUUUUUAUUAUUUCAGCUAUAUGUUUAUUUGUGGAUAGCUUCUUGUCUGUAACCUGUCACCAUUUGUUGUUUUUGUUCUCCGCCAGGUUGUUGAAUGUUCUGGAGGUGAUUGCACCCUUCAAGCACUUUAACAAACUCCGGGAGUUUGUUCAGAUGAAGCUCCCCCCUGGCUUUCCUGUCAAACUGGACAUCCCUGUCUUCCCUACGAUCACAGCCACCGUGACGUUUCAGGAGUUUCGAUAUGAUGAGUUUGAUCAGUCCAUUUUUACCAUUCCCAACGACUAUAAAGAAGACCCUAGCCGCUUCCCUGAUCUUUAACCUCUUGAGCUGGAACAGCAAACCAACGUGCAGCAAGACAACAUUAUGCUACAAAACAUACAUUUCAAAUUACAAAAGGAAAAAUGGAGGGAAAAAAACUGCAGUAAUUGUUCCUUGACAGUUUAUGGAUUUCCAUCGCCCAUCCCAACCCUGAAUACACACUAAAACUGCGCCAUCAGAGCUGAGGGAGGCCAGCUGUGACAGAGAGGUCGACAGAAGAAGCUCUUAGAUUUGGUUAAAUCCGAAAGUGCAACUAACUUGGAGCUGAGAGUCUGAACCUCUCAUCGGUGAGAGGGCAUUAAAUUUAAAAUGAGUGACCGCGGAGUAGGUGAGUUUUCUACAUAGGUAGAAGACAAACAACCAGUUCAGUCGUUGCUAUGUAUUUAAGUAUGUAAGUAAUGUUUAUAAAGGGAAUGUGUUUAACUUACCUGUAGUAAAGCACUGAUAUUACUGUGUGAGACAGGAAUUCCACCAAAAAAAAAGUGGUGUAACUUAAAAUUUGCAACACUAAUAACCAGUUUUUGGAAAAUGCAGUUUUGGAAGUUGCGUCUUGUUUAGGUCAGCUUUUGUAGAAUUCCUUAAAGAAUUCCGUGUGUGCGUGUGCGUGUGCGUGUGCGUGUGCGUGUGCGUGCGUGUGUGUGUGUGUGUGUGUGAGAGAUUUUUAUGGGCAUGGAGUAGAAUCACUGAGCGUUCACGCACUAAUUAGAUCCACUACAUCCACUACAACUCGACUCAUUUUGUGAUACUCAACCCUUAAUCCUGCAUUUGAAAUAUUAUAGUGUCAUUGAAGCAAAGCUAGAAAUGCUUCACUUCUCAUGGUACCACUAAGUUUUCUCUUAGUUGUUGGACUGGCAGCACGUGCAAGUAAUGUCUUUUGUUUCAUACUAAACCUUUUGUAAAUGUUGUAACAAACUACAAUUGUUCUGAAAGAAGAGAUCUGGGGAUUGUAUAGGAAGCAGAAUGACUGACUACAACAGUCAUGCCAUUUUUACACUAUAACAAGAAAAAGGUUUUAUCCCUGCACAGAAUGUAAAUACAUGUUUUAUGAGCUUUUGUCUUUUAAGUUAUUUUUCUUGUUCUUAUUAUUUGUGCUGAUGAGUUGAAUGUGGAUUUUUUUUUAAUGUAUCACAACAAGUUAAUUGAGAGUUUGUUGAUUUGUAAUGCAAUGGCAGUUUCUAUUUUUGUAUAUACUUGUAAUGUUUUAAAGGAAAAAAUAAUCUAUUAAUUCUUCUGUCAUUAUUUCACUUUCAACUAUAUCUGAUAAAACUUUUGAACCUCCUCCAGAUGUGUUAAACAAUCAAUCACCUCUACAGGGUGAAAAGUACAAAGCACCAAGCUUCCUCCUGAAAUUAAGUCCAGGGUGUUGGCUGGAGGCUAGAAAAAAGUUAAACUCUUAGGUGUUGUGCUCAUGUUUGUUUGUUAACUUGCCUGGCUGCUACUGGAUUUUAAAAAGAAGGUGUACUACACAGAUGUGGUGGCUCAAAGUGUUGUUAAAUCAGUUAGCUUUUUUUUUUUACAUCCAUAUUCAGUAUCAUUAUAACCCAAUACAAUACAUUUAAUUUUUCCACAUUACAUUCCUCCUCAUGCCAAGUGCAGCUAACGUUAGUGGAAGUGUGCCUCCUCACUGUUAACGCUCCUCUUUAUUUCAUGCUCCUUCCUGUUUUCAGCUGCUUGGAUUUUCCGUGUUUUCAGUAGGGAAUUCAUCUACAUGUCCUUUGUACAGCAAAAACUGUUGUAUAACUCUGCGACACUAUUUUCAUAUAAAAUGUAUUAAAAUAAAAAUUCCAGAUA
This is a long non-coding RNA of Etheostoma spectabile (orangethroat darter), 2112 nucleotides long. RefSeq lists it as uncharacterized. The transcript has 2 exons. The record is from RefSeq and is a predicted model, not a curated record. NCBI's taxonomy places the organism in Eukaryota, Metazoa, Chordata, Actinopteri, Perciformes, Percidae.